RNAcentral lists this ribosomal RNA (1231 nucleotides) under Listeria monocytogenes. RNAcentral describes it as "partial 23S ribosomal RNA". It matches the Rfam family "Bacterial large subunit ribosomal RNA", at positions 1 to 1224 of the family's 2925-position model. The record is from RNAcentral. Lineage: Bacteria; Bacillati; Bacillota; Bacilli; Caryophanales; Listeriaceae.
UUGGUUAAGUUAGAAAGGGCGCACGGUGGAUGCCUUGGCACUAGGAGCCGAAGAAGGACGGGACUAACACCGAUAUGCUUUGGGGAGCUGUACGUAAGCGUUGAUCCAGAGAUUUCCGAAUGGGGGAACCCACUAUCUUUAGUCGGAUAGUAUCCUUACGUGAAUACAUAGCGUGAGGAAGGCAGACCCAGGGAACUGAAACAUCUAAGUACCUGGAGGAAGAGAAAGAAAAAUCGAUUUCCUGAGUAGCGGCGAGCGAAACGGAAAGAGCCCAAACCAAGAAGCUUGCUUCUUGGGGUUGUAGGACACUCUAUACGGAGUUACAAAAGAAAGUUAUAAAUGAAGCGGUCUGGAAAGGCCCGCCAAAGACGGUAACAGCCCGGUAGUUGAAAUAGCUUUCCCUCCAGAGUGGAUCCUGAGUACGGCGGAACACGUGAAAUUCCGUCGGAAUCCGGGAGGACCAUCUCCCAAGGCUAAAUACUCCCUAGUGACCGAUAGUGAACCAGUACCGUGAGGGAAAGGUGAAAAGCACCCCGGAAGGGGAGUGAAACAGUUCCUGAAACCGUGUGCCUACAAGUAGUUAGAGCCCGUUAAUGGGUGAUAGCGUGCCUUUUGUAGAAUGAACCGGCGAGUUACGAUUUGUUGCAAGGUUAAGCGGAAAAAGCGGAGCCGUAGCGAAAGCGAGUCUGAAUAGGGCGCAUAAGUAACAGGUCGUAGACCCGAAACCAGGUGAUCUACCCAUGUCCAGGAUGAAGGUAAGGUAAUACUUACUGGAGGUCCGAACCCACGCACGUUGAAAAGUGCGGGGAUGAGGUGUGGGUAGCGGAGAAAUUCCAAUCGAACUUGGAGAUAGCUGGUUCUCUCCGAAAUAGCUUUAGGGCUAGCCUCGAGGUAAAGAGUCAUGGAGGUAGAGCACUGUUUGGACUAGGGGCCCUUCUCGGGUUACCGAAUUCAGAUAAACUCCGAAUGCCAUGUACUUAUACUCGGGAGUCAGACUGCGAGUGAUAAGAUCCGUAGUCGAAAGGGAAACAGCCCAGACCACCAGUUAAGGUCCCCAAAUAUAUGUUAAGUGGAAAAGGAUGUGGGGUUGCUUAGACAACCAGGAUGUUGGCUUAGAAGCAGCCACCAUUGAAAGAGUGCGUAAUAGCUCACUGGUCGAGUGACCCCGCGCCGAAAAUGUACCGGGGCUAAACAUAUUACCGAAACUGUGGAUGAACCUCUUUAGAGGUUC